RNAcentral lists this ribosomal RNA (252 nucleotides) under uncultured bacterium. RNAcentral's name for it is "partial 16S ribosomal RNA". It matches the Rfam family "Bacterial small subunit ribosomal RNA", at positions 524 to 776 of the family's 1533-position model. The record is from RNAcentral.
UACGUAGGGCGCAAGCGUUGUCCGGAAUCAUUGGGCGUAAAGAGCUCGUAGGCGGCCUGUUGCGUCCGCUGUGAAAUCCCGGGGCUAACCCCGGGCGUGCAGUGGAUACGGGCUGGCUGGAGGCAGGCAGGGGAGAACGGAUUCCCGGUGUAGCGGUGAAAUGCGCAGAUAUCGGGGAGGAACACCGGUGGCGAAGGCGGUUCUCUGGGCCUGUACUGACGCUGAGGAGCGAAAGCGUGGGGAGCGAACAGG